Molecule: ribosomal RNA, 253 nt
Filed under: uncultured bacterium
Lineage: Bacteria
Description: partial 16S ribosomal RNA
Rfam family: Bacterial small subunit ribosomal RNA
Source: RNAcentral
UACGGAGGGGGCUAGCGUUGUUCGGAAUUACUGGGCGUAAGGCGCACGUAGGCGGAUCUUUAAGUCAGGGGUGAAAUCCCGGAGCUCAACUCCGGAACUGCCUUUGAUACUGAGGGUCUCGAGUCCGGGAGAGGUGAGUGGAACUGCGAGUGUAGAGGUGAAAUUCGUAGAUAUUCGCAAGAACACCAGUGGCGAAGGCGGCUCACUGGCCCGGUACUGACGCUGAGGUGCGAAAGCGUGGGGAGCAAACAGG